This 502-nucleotide ribosomal RNA is filed under the name uncultured bacterium. RNAcentral describes it as "bacterial SSU rRNA". It matches the Rfam family "Bacterial small subunit ribosomal RNA", at positions 60 to 575 of the family's 1533-position model. The record is from RNAcentral.
AGUCGAACGAGCGAGAGAGAGCUUGCUUUCUCAAGCGAGUGGCGAACGGGUGAGUAACGCGUGAGGAACCUGCCUCAAAGAGGGGGACAACAGUUGGAAACGACUGCUAAUACCGCAUAAGCCCACGACCCGGCAUCGGGUAGAGGGAAAAGGAGCAAUCCGCUUUGAGAUGGCCUCGCGUCCGAUUAGCUAGUUGGUGAGGUAACGGCCCACCAAGGCGACGAUCGGUAGCCGGACUGAGAGGUUGAACGGCCACAUUGGGACUGAGACACGGCCCAGACUCCUACGGGAGGCAGCAGUGGGGAAUAUUGCACAAUGGGGGAAACCCUGAUGCAGCGACGCCGCGUGGAGGAAGAAGGUCUUCGGAUUGUAAACUCCUGUUGUUGAGGAAGAUAAUGACGGUACUCAACAAGGAAGUGACGGCUAACUACGUGCCAGCAGCCGCGGUAAAACGUAGGUCACAAGCGUUGUCCGGAAUUACUGGGUGUAAAGGGAGCGCAGG